GCGCCCGUAGCUCAGAUGGAUAGAGCGACAGCCUUCUAAGCUGUUUGCCCGGGGUUCGAAUCCCUGCGGGCGCGCCA
Molecule: transfer RNA, 77 nt
Filed under: Desulfovibrio sp.
Lineage: Bacteria; Pseudomonadati; Thermodesulfobacteriota; Desulfovibrionia; Desulfovibrionales; Desulfovibrionaceae
Description: tRNA-Arg
Rfam family: tRNA
About the family: Transfer RNA (tRNA) molecules are approximately 80 nucleotides in length. Their secondary structure includes four short double-helical elements and three loops (D, anti-codon, and T loops).
Source: RNAcentral